GUGGCAGCAGCCGCGGUAAAACCAGCACCUCAAGUGGUCAGGAGGAUUAUUGGGCCUAAAGCAUCCGUAGCCUGCUCUGUAAGUUUCCGGUUAAAUCCAUUAGCUCAACUAAUGGCCUGCCGGAAAUACUGUAGAGCUAGGAAGUGGGAGAGGUAGACGGUACUCGGUAGGAAGGGGUAAAAUCCUUUGAUCUAUUGAUGACCACCUGUGGCGAAGGCGGUCUACCAGAACACGUUCGACGGUGAGGGAUGAAAGCUGGGGGAGCAAACCGGAUUAGAUACCCGGGUAGUCCCAGCUGUAAACGAUGCAGACUCGGUGAUGCCCUGGCUUGUGGCCAGUGCAGUGCCGCAGGGAAGCCGUUAAGUUUGCCGCCUGGGAAGUACGUACGCAAGUAUGAAACCUAAAGGAAUUGGCGGGGGAGCACCACAAGGGGUGAAGCCUGCGGUUCAAUUGGAGUCAACGCCAGAAAUCUUACCCGGAGAGACAGCAGAAUGAAGGUCAAGCUGAAGACUUUACCAGACAAGCUGAGAGGUGGUGCAUGGCCGUCGCCAGCUCGUGCCGUGAGAUGUCCUGUUAAGUCAGGUAACGAGCGAGAUCCCUGCCUCUAGUUGCCACCAUUACUCUCAGGAGUAGUGGGGCGAAUUAGCGGGACCGCCACAGUUAAUGUGGAGGAAGGAAGGGGCCACGGCAGGUCAGUAUGCCCCGAAACUCUGGGGCCACACGCGGGCUGCAAUGGUAGUGACAAUGAGUUCCGAAACCGAAAGGUGGAGGUAAUCUUCAAACGCUACCACAGUUAUGAUUGAGGGCUGCAACUCGCCCUCAUGAAUAUGGAAUCCCUAGUAACUGCGUGUCAUUAUCGCGCGGUGAAUACGUCCCUGCUCCUUGCACACACCGCCCGUC
Molecule: ribosomal RNA, 900 nt
Filed under: uncultured archaeon
Lineage: Archaea
Description: bacterial SSU rRNA
Rfam family: Archaeal small subunit ribosomal RNA
Source: RNAcentral